RNAcentral lists this ribosomal RNA (406 nucleotides) under Verrucomicrobiota bacterium. Its description in RNAcentral is "Verrucomicrobia bacterium partial 16S ribosomal RNA". It matches the Rfam family "Bacterial small subunit ribosomal RNA", at positions 355 to 776 of the family's 1533-position model. Lineage: Bacteria; Pseudomonadati; Verrucomicrobiota. The record is from RNAcentral.
UGGGGAAUAUUGGACAAUGGAGGAAACUCUGAUCCAGCAAUUCUGUGUGUGUGAAGAAGGUUUUAGGACUGUAAAACACUUUUAGUAGGGAAGAAAAAAAUGACGGUACCUACAGAAGAAGCAACGGCUAAAUACGUGCCAGCAGCCGCGGUAAUACGUAUGGGGCGAGCGUUGUCCGGAAUUAUUGGGCGUAAAGGGUACGUAGGCGGUUUUUUAAGUCAGGUGUCAAAGCGUGGAGCUUAACUCCAUUAAGCACUUGAAACUGAAAGACUUGAGUGAAGGAGAGGAAAGUGGAAUUCCUAGUGUAGCGGUGAAAUGCGUAGAUAUUAGGGGGAAUACCGGUGGCGAAGGCGACUUUCUGGACUUUUACUGACGCUCAGGUACGAAAGCGUGGGGAGCAAACAGG